Molecule: ribosomal RNA, 252 nt
Filed under: uncultured bacterium
Lineage: Bacteria
Description: partial 16S ribosomal RNA
Rfam family: Bacterial small subunit ribosomal RNA
Source: RNAcentral
UACAGAGGUCCCAAGCGUUGUUCGGAUUCAUUGGGCGUAAAGGGUGCGUAGGCGGCGCGGUAAGUCGGGUGUGAAAUCUCGGGCUUAACUCCGAAACUGCAUUCGAUACUGCCGUGCUUGAGGACUGGAGAGGAGACUGGAAUUUACGGUGUAGCGGUGAAAUGCGUAGAUAUCGUAAGGAAGACCAGUGGCGAAGGCGGGUCUCUGGACAGUUCCUGACGCUGAGGCACGAAGGUCAGGGGAGCAAACGGG